Amphimedon queenslandica is the source of this 171-nucleotide long non-coding RNA. RefSeq lists it as uncharacterized. The transcript is spliced from 2 exons. The record is from RefSeq and is a predicted model, not a curated record. Lineage: Eukaryota; Metazoa; Porifera; Demospongiae; Haplosclerida; Niphatidae.
UAGUAACCCUCUCCUCCAAUCAUUGCUACAGUCAAUAUUGGUUAAUACUGCUACUGCUAAUAAUGGAAUAAGAGAUAUAUUUGAUAGUUGUGAUAAAGGCGGUCUAAUGGAUCCCAGUGCAGGUGUUCAGUAUGCCAGUAGUGAAGCUGAUGGUGUCAUUGAGUCUCUUAA